UUGACUUAUUUUUUUUUUUUACUCAGAGACGCCGCUGUAAUACACUAGAGUUUGUGACCUCCGGCGGGCGCCCCUCGCCCCGGAGGGCGUGGGCUGCGGUCCCCCGAGGGGUCCCGCGCCGCCGAAGCAACUUGGAUACGUUCGCUAUGGUUUGAAGGUGCCUCUCGGCUUCCUGUAAUGAUCCCUCCGCUGGUUCACCAACGGAGA
This 207-nucleotide unclassified non-coding RNA is filed under the name uncultured fungus. Its description in RNAcentral is "sequence contains ITS1". The record is from RNAcentral. Lineage: Eukaryota; Fungi.